CCCUUAGAUGUUCUGGGCCGCACGCGCGCUACACUGAUGCAUUCAACGAGUCUAAAACCUGUUCUGAUAGGGGUGGGUAAUCUUUUGAAUGUGCAUCGUGAUUGGGAUAGAUGAUUGCAAUUUUUCAUCUUCAACGAGGAAUGCCUAGUAAACGCAAGUCAUCAGCUUGCAUUGAUUACGUCCCUGCCCUUUGUACACACCGCCCGUCGCUCCUACCGAUUGAAUGAUCCGAUGAAUAUCAUGGAUUGAGGAUUAUAGCAGGUUCGCCUGUCUUGAUCUUCGAGAAGUGAAGUAAAUCUUAUCAUUUAGAGGAAGGAGAAGUCGUAACA
This 329-nucleotide ribosomal RNA is filed under the name uncultured eukaryote. RNAcentral describes it as "partial 18S ribosomal RNA". It matches the Rfam family "Eukaryotic small subunit ribosomal RNA", at positions 1470 to 1796 of the family's 1831-position model. The record is from RNAcentral.